GUUCCCGUCGAUUAGUGGUCAGAUCAUCACGUUGUGGUGUUCUCUGCAGUAGAACACAGAACCGUGGGGACGAGGGCUCGACUCCCUCCGGGAACA
Rhodofomes roseus is the source of this 96-nucleotide non-coding RNA. The record is from the annotation of a RefSeq genome assembly. Lineage: Eukaryota; Fungi; Basidiomycota; Agaricomycetes; Polyporales; Fomitopsidaceae.